Molecule: long non-coding RNA, 4079 nt
Organism: Cyprinus carpio (common carp)
Lineage: Eukaryota; Metazoa; Chordata; Actinopteri; Cypriniformes; Cyprinidae
Exons: 4
Source: RefSeq, a predicted model, not a curated record
AUUAAUUGUUUGACAGCACUAGUACAUUUUCAGCCAAUUUUCAUUUUUGAGUAAACGGUUACUGUAAAAAAUGUUUGUGGUGUAUGUUAGUGCAGAUAAUGUUCAUAUCUGUAAUCUUUUGUAAAAAAAAAAAAAAUAAAUCCUCCUCUUCUCUCUGUUCUUACAUUUGUAGUCCAUAUCAUUCUUCAUCUGUGCACUAAAUGGAUCCAUGCCCUUUAUUCCUGCCAGUCUUUUCAUGUCUACCUUUUUGCCAUUGACAUCGUGCCCACAAAUGUUGGCUGUCUCUCACAGCUCUUGGUUUUCUCCAUCAUUGCCUCUCAGAAAUCAGAGGUUAAUCUUCAUUCUGUAAAGAUUAUUCCUCUCAGGGCAGAUCUCGCUCUCAUCUCCUCCCCUCAGAGCAGCUACAGGGGAAAUACUCCUAAGUCCUGUCUACUUUAUCAGUGCUUCUCCUCUCUUUCUACUUCUUUUCUCUGAUAGCUUUUCAGAUUGUUCCUGUUUGUGUGCUGUGUGAAUGUUUCUGCCGGCUGUAAUCGAAGAGAGUUUCUCACAGAGGGAUCAUGGAUUCUCUCUCUCUGUGUUUCUCAGAAGUGACAAGUUUGCGUGUGUCUGCAAGAGAGCGCGAGAUCAAGGGAAUCCAAGGUUACAGUCGACAUGCAUACUUCCUCCUGAGAUUAGGGACACGAUAAUGAACUUCAGUGCUGCUGUCUUGGCAACAGGAGAGCGACCUUGUGGGCUGAAGGCACAUUUAAGGUCCAGAGAUCAUUGCGGCAGAGGCAGAGCGUAGCUGAAUGAUUGACUGGUAGCCGUCAUUAUCAGACGUGUUCCGUUCGACAUGCGAGUCCAGACUGAGGAGGAGGUGAGAAGGGCCCAUGUUCAGUGAGCGUGUAAUGAAGCCGGCUUUGGAUCAGGGUCACUGACUCGAGUGCCAUUUAUUUCUGCAAGGAGACUAGUCUGCUGUGUGCUUUAAAUUACUGCGGACGGGCUUGGUGAAACCUGGAUUACUUGGUGCUGAGUGAGCAGACGGUAAUAUACUUACCCUCACUGUCUCUGUGUUCCGGCCUUCAGGACAGAAGCAGUCAUCCAUAAACCACAUCGUCUAGAUCUUUAUUUAUUUUGCCACCAAUCAACUCUGAGCAGCCUGCCGGACAGCUGCAGCAAGUGAAGUCACUUUACGCUCAUUAGCAUGGACAAGAGAUGAGACUCUAGACACACACACACACCACAGAUUCCCUCCCUCCACCCAUUUAUGAGUGUGUCGUGCCUGUGCAUGUAGCACCAAGGAGCUCCAGAAACCUCUCUCCGGAUUUCAAUUGUGGGUUGGCAUUCAUAUGUUUGCAUAUAUAUUUAUGGUCUCAGAUAUUUUUAAUGUGUUUAAAUGGAUACAGGUUUGACCUCCCAGGAGGGAAUGAAUGACUACAUGAAAAUGAAGGAAGGAAAAUUUGAGCAUAGGAAAAGGAAAGUGGAGGAGAUGAGAUGAGAAGAGAACAGAUGGUACGUGGUGGGAUAAGUCAUAAAAAUUGCUUUUCACCGUUGCAAAACUAACUUCCCCCCAAAAAAGUACCAUAAAUCAUACUAUGUUAUUGUGACGGUACUUUGAUAUAUACCUAGGUAAUGAAUGACUAACAUGGUAUAUUGCAAAUACUUGAAACAUGAAGUUACCACGUUAGUCUGAAAAACAUGUACUGUUCUUUCUUAUAGUGCUUCUUAUUAAGCAUAAAUGAAAAAGCUAACAAGAACAUAGAGACAUAUGUUCUUGAGACACCUUGAGCAGAAAAUUGGAUUUCAUGAAAAUGCUAUUUUAAAUAUAAAAGUUUAUCCUGAGAGUGAGUGGAGAGAAUAAAAAAAACCUAAAGGAGCGAUGAGGUGAGCAUGGGUAUGAAAGCAAUAAAAAGAGAGAGGAGGGAGAGAUGGUUAGAGGAUAAAAGGGAAUUGUGGGGCGGAAAAGAGAGAUACGAAAGGCUUGUCGAGUGGAGGGGAGAGAUGCAGGGCUACGUGUUAGUUCCUCUUCAUUUGCUCUCUGUAUGUGGUGUAGAGGUCAGGCUGAGAGCUGGGACUCGGGCCAUGAAGGAGAGAGCAAAGACAGCCUUAGGCAGGAAUACACUCACCCUGUACACACUAAUGUUCUGUCUAUAUAUUCCUCUAUCGCAUAAACAUACAUUAAGUCAUUGUAUGCAUGAAUUUAAUUUGUAGUGUAUUUUUUGAAAAUAAUGAGCAUCAUGUUCCUUUUAUUUAGCACUGAAAAGUAUUUUUUGAGAACAGAGUCACAAAUAGUAAUGUUGCAUAGCCCUGGAAUUGCAUAAUGUAGUGAUGUCAGACAGACCUGACAGAUAAAAUACAGAGCCAGAAUUCAGACAUGGAUGACACCGUCGCCUCAUUUCAAUCUUCUAAACAUGCGGCGGCCCAAAGAUUCCUCCAUCAAGUGAGUUCUGUUUACCUUCACCCCAGUAAUCAUGGGAUAUAAUCAGCAGAUGGAGCGCGAGGGGCUGCGCUGUUUCCAUUUCCGAAAUCAAAUAUGUGCUCAUCAUAAAAAAAAAGAGGACGAAAAGAAAAAAGCCAUCAGAGGAAUCCAUCAGAUCAGCGGAAUAAAUCUAAUUUCCCUACAAAUACAUCUGUAAUAUUUCAAAUCCACGGCCCGGGUUAAUCUAAUGCUUCAUUUAAAUUCAAAUAAAGCCAAAGUCGUGUCUUAUCAAUAAUAAGAAGCCGGCGGAAAAAUAAAUGAAGUUUAAGGCGGUGGAGGGGAGAGAGCGCAGGGUUUUCUUGUGUGUUUUAUUCUCAAAGAGUCAAUAAAAUAUAAAGAGACUCAAUUAUUCUAUUAAGCUGAAACAUUGCAUCAUCACUGAGCUUUACUGAGUCAACAGAGAUCUUCGGCCGUGUUUGAUGAAGUUUGGUUUAGACAGAGCAUACUUGAUAAGCAGAGCCUCGCUGGAGGUGUCUGUUUUACAAAUGAAUGAGAGAAGAAGAGAAAGGAAGGGAGGAAGUAUUCUCUGGAACUUUAUUUUCAGUGGUGUUUGCUAUUAAACUUUGACAUAUCACUCCUGCAGCGUUUGUGCUACAGACAUGAAUGAUACCUCAAAUUAUUGUGCUACAAUUUUUUGACGCCAUCAGACAUAAAUAAUAUAAAAUUACAGUCAAGAAGGAAUGUGGGGCUGUUUAGUGUUCUAAAUGAGGUUCAUUUCGAUAGGGAUUUAUGCAAUAGCAAAAGAUAUAGCCAUGCAGAUUUUGCAACAGGUUUAAGUCGGUCACGUUUUCCAACAGAAAGCUGCUUCGCUAGAAUUUCACCAGUGUACAGUUGUACAUUUUCACAAGCAAAAUCCAGUCUUUCAACGACAGAAGUUUUACCCACACAGAUUUCGCAGUGGGUUCAAGUUGGUCCUGCAGAAAGUUGCUUUGCUGAAAUUUCACUAGUGUGAUCUUUACUGUUGUUCAGCUAAAUUUCACAGGUGAAAUCCAGUCAUUUCAAAGGGAUUCCUUGCAAUGCAAAAAGAUUUAGCCAUACAUAUUUUUGCAAAAGGUUCACUCAGAUUUGGCAUGUUUACCAACAGACAGAUGCUUUGAGAAAUUUCACAAGAGCCUGAUUAUACCUUUACCACUGUUUGCCGAAUUUUCAUGGGUGAAAUCCGGUAAUUUUAAUAGGAAUUUAUGCAAUCUGAAAUUUUGCAUGGAGACGAAAGAUUUUCCUAUGCAGAUUUUGCUGCAAGUUCAGGUUGGUCAUGGAGAUUUCCAGUGUUAACCAACAGAAAGUUGUUUGGUUUGAAAGUGAUUUCUAUGUGAGCUUCAUAUAUCGCAAAAUUAUAGACAAUGGAGUUUUUUGGACGGUAAAGUUUGCUGAAAUUUAGCUAAUGUGAUCACAACUUUAGAUUGUUUCUGUGAUUUGGCCCAAUGGGGCAGGAACUUUAUAUCAUAAGUCUUACAUUAAGAUCAGAUCAAGUUCUAACUGAAAUCCCCAUGGUUACUAAAAAGAUGCACAAGUCCGUUUUAAAUAAGCCAGUAAGCAACCUCCUAGAAACACCCUAGCAACCCGCCAGAACCACUUUGCAACCUCAUAGCAAUCCACUUACAACCACUCAAAACACUAGUAA